GGCCUACCAUGGUGGUAACGGGUAACGGGGUGUUAGGGCACGACACCGGAGAGGGAGCCUGAGAAACGGCUACCACAUCCAAGGAAGGCAGCAGGCGCGCAAAUUACCCAAUCCCGACACGGGGAGGUAGUGACAAUAAAUAACAAUACAGGGUUCUUUUGGAUCUUGUAAUUGGAAUGAGUACAAUUUAGAUCUCUUAACGAGGAACAAUUGGAGGGCAAGUCUGGUGCCAGCAGCCGCGGUAAUUCCAGCUCCAAUAGCGUAUAUUAAAGUUGUUGCAGUUAAAAAGCUCGUAGUUGAAUUUCGGGAUCAAUAUAUCGGUCGUGCCUCUGGUACGUACUGGUAUCAUUGAUUUCUCCCUUCUGACGAACCAUGAUUUCAUUUAUUUGGUGUCAUGGGGAGUUAGGACUGUUACUUUGAAAAAAUUAGAGUGUUUAAAGCAGGCAUUAGCUUGAAUACAUUAGCAUGGAAUAAUGAAAUAGGACGUUUGACCCUAUUUUGUUGGUUUCUAGGAUCGACGUAAUGAUUAAUAGGGAUAGUUGGGGGCAUUAGUAUUCAUUGUCAGAGGUGAAAUUCUUGGAUUUAUUGAAGACUAACUACUGCGAAAGCAUUUGCCAGGAUGUUUUCUUUAAUCAAGAACGAAAGUUAGGGAUCGAAGACGAUCAGAUACCGUCGUAGUCUUAACCAUAAACUAUGCCGACUAGGGAUCGGAUGAUGUUAAUUUUAUAAUGACUCAUUCGGCGCCUUACG
RNAcentral lists this ribosomal RNA (750 nucleotides) under uncultured Glomus. RNAcentral describes it as "SSU rRNA". It matches the Rfam family "Eukaryotic small subunit ribosomal RNA", at positions 338 to 1092 of the family's 1831-position model. The record is from RNAcentral. Lineage: Eukaryota; Fungi; Glomeromycota; Glomeromycetes; Glomerales; Glomeraceae.